This 253-nucleotide ribosomal RNA is filed under the name uncultured bacterium. RNAcentral describes it as "partial 16S ribosomal RNA". It matches the Rfam family "Bacterial small subunit ribosomal RNA", at positions 524 to 776 of the family's 1533-position model. The record is from RNAcentral.
UACGUAGGGUCCGAGCGUUGUCCGGAAUUAUUGGGCGUAAAGAGCUCGUAGGCGGUCUGUCGCGUCGGCUGUGAAAACACGGGGCUCAACUCCGUGCCUGCAGUCGAUACGGGCAGACUAGAGUUCGGUAGGGGAGACUGGAAUUCCUGGUGUAGCGGUGAAAUGCGCAGAUAUCAGGAGGAACACCGGUGGCGAAGGCGGGUCUCUGGGCCGAUACUGACGCUGAGGAGCGAAAGCGUGGGGAGCGAACAGG